AACGCUAGCUACAGGCUUAACACAUGCAAGUCGAGGGGAAACGACAUCGAAAGCUUGCUUUUGAUGGGCGUCGACCGGCGCACGGGUGAGUAACGCGUAUCCAACCUGCCCACCACUUGGGGAUAACCUUGCGAAAGUAAGACUAAUACCCAAUGAUAUCCCACGAAGGCAUCCGAAUGGGAUUAAAGAUUUAUCGGUGAUGGAUGGGGAUGCGUCUGAUUAGCUUGUUGGCGGGGUAACGGCCCACCAAAGCAACGAUCAGUAGGGGUUCUGAGAGGAAGGUCCCCCACAUUGGAACUGAGACACGGUCCAAACUCCUACGGGAGGCAGCAGUGAGGAAUAUUGGUCAAUGGGCGAGAGCCUGAACCAGCCAAGUAGCGUGCAGGACGACGGCCCUAUGGGUUGUAAACUGCUUUUAUAAGGGAAUAAAGUGGGUCACGUGUGACUUUUUGCAUGUACCUUAUGAAUAAGGACCGGCUAAUUCCGUGCCAGCAGCCGCGGUAAUACGGAAGGUCCGGGCGUUAUCCGGAUUUAUUGGGUUUAAAGGGAGCGUAGGCCGGAGAUUAAGCGUGUUGUGAAAUGUAGUGGCUCAACCUCUGCACUGCAGCGCGAACUGGUCUUCUUGAGUACGCACAACGUGGGCGGAAUUCGUGGUGUAGCGGUGAAAUGCUUAGGUAUCACGAAGAACUCCGAUUG
RNAcentral lists this ribosomal RNA (696 nucleotides) under uncultured bacterium. Its description in RNAcentral is "bacterial SSU rRNA". It matches the Rfam family "Bacterial small subunit ribosomal RNA", at positions 32 to 715 of the family's 1533-position model. The record is from RNAcentral.